Molecule: ribosomal RNA, 406 nt
Filed under: uncultured bacterium
Lineage: Bacteria
Description: partial 16S ribosomal RNA
Rfam family: Bacterial small subunit ribosomal RNA
Source: RNAcentral
AUUGAACGCUGGCGGCAGGCCUAACACAUGCAAGUCGCACGAGUGGCGGACGGGUGAGUAAUGUCUGGGAAACUGCCUGAUGGAGGGGUAUAAAUACUGGAAACGGUAGCUAAUACCGCAUACCAUCAGAUGUGCCCAGAUGGGAUUAGGUUGUUGGUGGGGUAACGGCUCACCAAGGCGACGAUCUCUAGCGGGUCUGAGAGGAUGACCAACACCAGGGGAACGCAGACACGGUCCCGACUCCACAGGGAGGCAGCAGUGGGGAAUAUUGGACAAUGGGGGCAAGCCUGAUGCAGCCAGGCCGCUUGUAUGAAGAAGGCCUACGGGUUGUAAAGUACUGUCAGCGGGGAGGCGUUACCCGCAGAAGAAGCACCGGCUAACUCCGUGCCAGCAGCCGCGGUAAUUC